AGAGCGGAAGUGGGGGCCGGGUCAGCCGCGGGAUUUGAAGCCGAAAGGCAGGAUUUAGGCUCAGAAUGGCCGAAGUGGCGGGGCUCGGACUUGGGCGGUGGGAGUAGAGCAGAGUCCACGCAAGCGGUAUCAAUGGAAACCUAUCAAAAGGGUGAAUCCUUCGAGCCGGAUUCGAACCAGCGACCUAAGGAUGACCAUGGUCAACCAUCUACAGUCCUCCGCUCUACCAACUGAGCUAUCGAAGGAUUGGUGAUAGGGCUUGUUAUAAUACCGCUAAUAAUGUUUAUCCCCGUGGUUUUAAUCAUCUUUUUAAAAUUACAGGCAAAUGCUUUUUCUAGAGUGCUAGAAAUGUUCUAAAACUGGUAGGAGUGGUAAUCAUAGAGGUAUAUUGAAAAAUUAAUACCCUUGAACACUUAA
Molecule: long non-coding RNA, 417 nt
Organism: Lontra canadensis (Northern American river otter)
Lineage: Eukaryota; Metazoa; Chordata; Mammalia; Carnivora; Mustelidae
Exons: 2
Source: RefSeq, a predicted model, not a curated record